This 270-nucleotide ribosomal RNA is filed under the name uncultured archaeon. RNAcentral describes it as "partial 16S ribosomal RNA". It matches the Rfam family "Archaeal small subunit ribosomal RNA", at positions 477 to 747 of the family's 1478-position model. The record is from RNAcentral.
CAGCCCCCCGAGUGGUAGGGAUGUUUAUUUGGCCUAAAGCGUCCGUAGCCUGCUCUGUAAAUCUCUCGUUAAAUCCAGCGUCCUAAGCGUUGGGCUGCGAGGGACACUGCAGAGCUAGAGGGUGGGAGAGGUCAGCGGUAUUCCUGGGGUAGGGGCGAAAUCCAUUGAUCCCAGGAGGACCACCAGUGGCGAAGGCUGCUGACUAGAACACGCCUGACGGUGAGGGACGAAAGCUGGGGUAGCGAAUCGGAUUAGAGACCCGAGUAGUCC